Molecule: ribosomal RNA, 723 nt
Filed under: uncultured Herbaspirillum sp.
Lineage: Bacteria; Pseudomonadati; Pseudomonadota; Betaproteobacteria; Burkholderiales; Oxalobacteraceae
Description: bacterial SSU rRNA
Rfam family: Bacterial small subunit ribosomal RNA
Source: RNAcentral
GGAGCGGCCGAUAUCUGAUUAGCUAGUUGGUGGGGUAAAAGCCUACCAAGGCGACGAUGAGUAGCUGGUCUGAGAGGACGACCAGCCACACUGGGACUGAGACACGGCCCAGACUCCUACGGGAGGCAGCAGUGGGGAAUUUUGGACAAUGGGGGAAACCCUGAUCCAGCAAUGCCGCGUGAGUGAAGAAGGCCUUCGGGUUGUAAAGCUCUUUUGUCAGGGAAGAAACGGUUCUGGAUAAUACCCGGAACUAAUGACGGUACCUGAAGAAUAAGUACCGGCUAACUACGUGCCAGCAGCCGCGGUAAUACGUAGGGUGCAAGCGUUAAUCGGAAUUACUGGGCGUAAAGCGUGCGCAGGCGGUUGUGCAAGACAGAUGUGAAAUCCCCGGGCUUAACCUGGGAACUGCAUUUGUGACUGCACGGCUAGAGUGUGUCAGAGGGGGGUAGAAUUCCACGUGUAGCAGUGAAAUGCGUAGAUAUGUGGAGGAAUACCGAUGGCGAAGGCAGCCCCCUGGGAUAACACUGACGCUCAUGCACGAAAGCGUGGGGGGCAAACAGGAUUAGAUACCCUGGUAGUCCACGCCCUAAACGAUGUCAACUAGUUGUCGGGUCUUAAUUGACUUGGUAACGCAGCUAACGCGUGAAGUUGACCGCCUGGGGAGUACGGUCGCAAGAUUAAAACUCAAAGGAAUUGACGGGGACCCGCACAAGCGGUGGAUGA